RNAcentral lists this unclassified non-coding RNA (17 nucleotides) under Mus musculus (house mouse). RNAcentral's name for it is "oocyte_clustered_small_RNA13273". Lineage: Eukaryota; Metazoa; Chordata; Mammalia; Rodentia; Muridae. The record is from RNAcentral.
CCAAGUCCCUUCAAUAA